ACUUAUCUAGUAUAAUUGUACAAUUGACUUCCAAUCAAUAAGACUGGUAUCUCCAGGAUAAGUA
RNAcentral lists this transfer RNA (64 nucleotides) under Palaemon modestus. RNAcentral describes it as "tRNA-Gly". Lineage: Eukaryota; Metazoa; Arthropoda; Malacostraca; Decapoda; Palaemonidae. RNAcentral also lists the same sequence under 1 other name. The record is from RNAcentral.